CAACCUCAACUCAUAUGGGACUACCCCCUGAAUUUAAGCAUAUUAAUUAGGGGAGGAAAAGAAACUAACAAGGAUUUUCUUAGUAGCGGCGAGCGAAAAGAAAACAGUUCAGCACUAAGUCACUUUGUCUAUAUGGCAAAUGUGAGAUGCAGUGUAUGGAGCGUCAAUAUUCUAGUAUGAGAAAUUAAUGAUUUAAGUCCUUCUUAAAUGAGGCCAUUUACCCAUAGAGGGUGCCAGGCCCGUAUAACGUUAAUGAUUACUAGAUGAUGUUUCCAAAGAGUCGUGUUGCUUGAUAGUGCAGCACUAAGUGGGUGGUAAACUCCAUCUAAAACUAAAUAUAACCAUGAGACCGAUAGUAAACAAGUACCGUGAGGGAAAGUUGAAAAGAACUCUGAGAAUCCACCACAGUGGCG
Molecule: non-coding RNA, 413 nt
Filed under: Drosophila simulans
Lineage: Eukaryota; Metazoa; Arthropoda; Insecta; Diptera; Drosophilidae
Description: Eukaryotic large subunit ribosomal RNA
Rfam family: Eukaryotic large subunit ribosomal RNA
Source: Rfam by way of RNAcentral